This is a long non-coding RNA of Oncorhynchus tshawytscha (Chinook salmon), 358 nucleotides long. NCBI's taxonomy places the organism in Eukaryota, Metazoa, Chordata, Actinopteri, Salmoniformes, Salmonidae. The record is from Ensembl.
GAUGGAGAGGAUUGGGAGAUAGAGAGGGAGGGAGAUAGAGAGGAUUGGGAGAUAGAGAGGGAGGGAGCUAGAGAGGGAGGGAGAUAGAGAGGGAGGGAGAGAGGGAGGGAGAUAGAGAGGGAGGGAGAUAGAGAGGGAGAUAGCUAGACAGGGAGGUAGAGAGGGAGCUAGAGAGGGAGGGAGGGAGCUAGACAGGGAGGUAGAGAGGGAGCUAGAGAGGGAGGGAGGGAGCUAGACAGGGAGGUAGAUAGGGAGACAGGGAGGAAGACAGGGAGGGAGGUAGAUAGGGAGACAGGGAGGUAGAAAGGGAGGGAGGGAGCUAGACAGGGAGGUAGAGAGGGAGGGAGCUAGACAGGGA